Molecule: long non-coding RNA, 1460 nt
Organism: Varroa destructor (honeybee mite)
Lineage: Eukaryota; Metazoa; Arthropoda; Arachnida; Mesostigmata; Varroidae
Source: RefSeq, a predicted model, not a curated record
CGGAUUGACUUAUGAAAACAUACUGAUAUUUUUAGCAUCAAAUUGCAGUUAUAAUUUUAUCUAGAGGAAACAAUUUAUACUCUGCAAUUGUAGGAACGCAUCUAUUUUAAGUGCUUUUGUCAUUCUAGACACGAGUUCCCUUUACGUACAUUUCGAUAUGAGUGCGAUAGACGAAACAUAUUUAACGGCAACAGGACAACGAUUCUCCGUGUUCAGAUACAAUAUAAGUGACAUGUGUACAUACUUGCUUUCCAAAGAGAUAUCUCGACAGGAUCUGGUCCUUGUGCGGAAUUAUCAUGCCAAUACCGGUUUCUUUGCCUACACAUGUACUAUUCAAAGUUUCAACGUGACAAACGGGUAGACAAAUAAACCAAUGGCAAAAUAAGGGAUGUUUCGUACCAACGCUGUCUAAGUCGAACGAAACUCUUGCGCGCAUGUCCUACAUACGCCAGGUACGAGUAUCGGCCUAGUAGCAUUAGUACUGCCGGAGCUCCACCGCGAACGCUUCGAGCUGGACCUCUCGAAGAUUUCUACGGGCAGUGAUUCAACAGUUGCUCUCUUUUUCCUUAGCUCUAUUAGGGACUCGGCGAUACUGGACAUUAUUCGAAGAGAUCUGUUUAAGGUAAGAAUUCUUUGCGGUCAUAAAGCGCCCGUUUAAAACGCGAUCUAACCCAGAUGUUCAAACUUCGGAACAGUACAAACUAUUCUCAACUGCUGUGAUUUUUUCCAUCGGCAACUUCUUUAUUGACGGCGAUUUAUUUGCUACUAUUACGAGCAUAUUAUUAUAGAAGACACGCACACACUUCAGCAGCACCGUAGACCCAACUAACCGCUCUACAGGAAUCUACAUAACUGUCUUUGAUGUUGAUUUUCUUUUUUCCAAAUGAACUAGAUAUAAAAGGCGUUCCGGCGAUUAUGUGCCCGAUAUCUCUCGAAGCUUCUAGACUCAUUCAAUCGAUUUUUCUAGUUAGGCAAGAAAAGUAUGACAUAUAAAAAGGGCGACCAAUGUAGCUAAGUUUGAUCAAUAUCAGAAAUCUCUCUUGGAAAGCCAUGCUUUUUGCACUUGUAUAAAGUAUGAUAGCAAAUCAUCGUGCGUCCUUAAUAGGCGUUAGUUACUGAAACAGUCGACUUAGCUUCAGCGUUGAUUUCUUUUCCAGUAGUAGCUAUAGAUAAAUUCAAUUUCUAUGGCCUCUGUUAAUUAGCUCUAGUACUCUCCUUACCUCAGUCGAGCACUUCGGUGGAGAGCUCGAAGCUUGCUUCAGCUGUUUGGUUGAUAAUUCGUUUACCUCAAAAUAUAUGCUACCUAUAACUUCUCUAACAGUAGUCUAAUGUAGCAGAUAGCAAUAGAUGUAUGUAGCAGGAUGAAAGAUGUACUUGCAGUUAAAACGUUGUCUAACAUCGCUUCUGUCGACACAGCGGCCUGUUAUCGAGUGAUUAAACCUCCUAUUCCUAAGCUUACC